AAACACAGUCUCUGAAGCACUUGCUGUGCUUCUCUUGUGCCUCAUCGGUUGGGAACAGGGUGCCUGCCCUUCAGAGUGAUCGCAGCAGAUGGGUUGCAGCCGAGGAAUCCCCACUGGGUCUCGAAUCCUUCCAGGAAAAGCAGCAAGUGGACGUAGACUGCCGCCCAGGACAUCUGGCUUUGCAGGUGCUUGUUAAACUCCCUCAUAAAAAAGGCAGAGUUGACUGCAUAGUCUCGGCUCACCAUUGAGGCUUGGCCCCCAGGGCCUCGAUUAGGAGACGAUCUGGACAGCGACUCGGAAACUCACAGAAAAGGCCAGGCAGGCCCUUUCUCGCUGUCGCCAAACCUGAAAGCUUUGUGGGUUGUGAUUCCUAGUGAGUCUAGCACUGGACGCUGGAGAGAAGAACGGUUUAGAGGCAUAGGUUGUCUGUGCUCAUUGAAUUAGAAAGGGAAGAGAGGCAAAAAUGAUUAGAGGAGGAAGACCAUCCAUCACAGGGUUUUGGCCCUAUGCCAUUAGAUCCUAUUAUAAAAAAGACUGAGUAAUCAGGGUACCUGUUAAGGGUGUCCACAGAGGCACGAGGUCUGAGGCCUCUAUCCAUUCUCUCGGUGGGAUGGGUGCCAUCUUCCAUCAAAUCCCCUGGCGGAUGGCGUCUUCACUCUGAAAGGGGUGGGAAGGCCUCCCAGGCGAGGAAGGAGUGGCAAGACAGGGACAGGCCCUCACCUCCUGCUCUCCUGGAAGUCCUCUCCCCUCCCUGGGCCCCUGUGGCUUCCCCCUCCACACAGUGGGACAAUUUGGGAGCAUUUAGCAUGAAAUCACUUGAUGAAUGAAGACGUUUGGCCUGAUAUUCUGGUCACAGUUAAGGCUUGAGCCACAAAAAUGAAAACCCAAAAAUCACGUUGUUUGGCCCAGGCCUGGGAGCUGGCAAGAUGAGCGGGGACAGGCGGAGGCAGUGGUUACGGUGCAAACCAAGCCACCAUGCAGGCUGAGCUCCCCAAAGCCCGCGCACAAGCCCACCUUAUGUGGCUAUUUCUGGAGCACAACUUAGUACAGGCUGCUCUUUCAGAGGCUGAGGAGUCUCAUCCUCGUCACCCUCCCCCCAAAAAACCUUUCUGAUGUGAACAUUCCAGAUUUACCGAAAAGUUAAAAGCAUAGCAUGAUGAGCUUCGUGUGCCUUUUCUCCAGACUCACCAACCUUCGGUACGUUGCUGCUUCGGCUUAAUCCCCGUUCACCCUCCCCACCCCCCAGUCACAGUCCGAGAGGUUUGGAGGCAGUGACUUCGGCCACUUGGAGGUGGUUCAGACAAAGAAGGAGACCGGGGGGGCACUGUGCAUCUCCCAGGAACAGGAGCUCUCUCUUUGGUGGCAGUGCCAUUAUCUCCCUUAAGAAUACAAGUAUCUAAGAUCCAACCCACACUCACCUAUCCCCGCUUGUCCCAAACUGUCCCCCAGGGCUUUUUUUUCCUCUGUGAAUCUAAGAGACAAUCCAAGAUUGUAUCUCACAUCACUGGCCCAAUUCCCCGGGUUGGAGACAUUUUUCUUCCUUUUUUUUGUGUGUUUCAUGACGUUGCCAUUUUGGAGUCUGGGCCAGUUGCCUUGUAGGCUGAGCUGCAGUCCGCCUGUUUCCCUGGGGUCAAGGGAUUUAGACAAGAAACGGAGGCGAUGUUGCGAUGAAUGUACUUGAGCGAGCCGGCUUUCUGGAGACCUCUGUGCCUCCCUCUUUCAAGGCAGAUAAACAAGGCAUCUUCAGUGCUGUUCUCCUCAAUUAGAAGCACUAGCUGAAGCUUCAGGAAUGGGUCCAGGAGCCUCUGGACACCAGAUCGCAUUGCUAGAGCUGAACAAGGCUCUGCUUCUCUGACUUCUCACAGGGAUCUCCUUUCUGUGCCGAGUAUCUGCCGUCUUUCCCCAAACACCUGUGGGGAUGAUCUGGCUAUAAAUAGACAGAAAGCACAGAGAUGUUCCUUCAUCAAUUGUAAAGGGCUGGCAGGUGGAACCCAGUAGGGUGGUUGGAAGGAUGCCUGUAACCUGGUGGGGUAUGCGGGCACCCAGUUGGGUCUCGAUGAGAAGUAAUGAUUGCCAAGCCCUCCCCAUCAUUGAUCCUGAAACACGGACUUGGCUGCUGCGGCACUACUGUCAGCCAUGAAGGGCUGAAUCUGUGACCUCAUUUUGAGAUGUUGGUUUGCACUGGCACGUUCCAUGGCAUGGCCUUCUCCGUUCCGGUCACAUAGAGCAAUGCACCUGCCAUGGCUCAAAACCUUUUAUUUUGAUCAAGAAAAUAUGUCCAUGUGGAUUCGCGCCUCUCAGCCUUUGCCCAUGCUGUUCCUGCUGUCCAGAAGGCUCCCCGCUCAUCUCGAGGGUGGAGGUGGAGGUGGGAGCAUCUCACGGGUCCUUUAAAAGCUCCUCCUGACUAUUUGCCCCAUGCAGGACUCGGUGAUGCCCUCCUCUGGGGCCCCCAGUCCUUCUAUCAUCUAUGAGCAUGCUGGGGAGCAAACCUCCGACGGCCCUGGCAGUGGGAGCUGUGGGUGCCCGGCAGCACCCACAGAGGGGAAUAAAGACAAUUUGGCUUCCGGCACCUUGCCUAAAUGGCCAUUUGUCCCUGUCUUCAAGGCAUGUCUUAACUUUAGGGCAGGCAUUUGUUCCAUCCCAGCAAACUGGUGCACAUUCUUCAGAUGAAAACCAUCACCCCACCAAUUUGCCCAGGAGGCAAGUGGUUGGCAUGUCACCACACACCAGGGUCACUCUUGUGACAUUUCACCUCGCAGUGGGUAAGCCCUGUGCUGCCAGUGUCACUAGGAUCCAGGUCAGCACUUUUCUCGUGGAAGUACUCCUCGGAGAGGCCAAGUGGAGUGGGAACGGGCACAGCGAGUGACAGGACCCCCAACCUCAGCUCUGCACCUGCCCCGCUCACUCUGGGCUCUGAGACAGGCCAUGGCACAGUCCUUUUGCCCCAGUGGAGUGGCUUCUGCCAUUCACAGGCAGGUGGUAGCCUCUUUGAGCCUCAGUUUUCCCAUCUUUAAGUUGGGGAUUACAAGAUAUACCCUGCUGCACAGAGUGGCUACAAGAGCAGCAUGUGAUGGCAUUUUCCAGGCAUCUACCCUGAGCCAAGUGCUGACCUAGAGUUCUUACAGUGUUUGCUUCACUUUUCUUCCUUCCUUCCUUGUCUUUUUAGGUCCAUACCCACAGCACAUGGAAGUUCCCAGGCUAGGGGUCAAAUUGGAGCUGUAGCUGCCAGCCUAUGCCACAGGUCACAGCAAUGCUGGAUCCUUAACCCACUGAGUGGGGCCACAGAUCCAACCCGCAUCCUCAUGGGAGCUAGUUGGGUUCUUAACCUGCUGAGCCAUGGAUGGGAACACCAGUGUUUGCAUUUCUUGUAAAGGCCAGCCCGAGCCUACUGCAAGGAGACUUCUGGGCAUUUGACAUAAAGCCCAGUUCUGGAGAGGCAGUGAUUGUCAGUGGAGGAACUCGGGCAGGGCUUCACGGAGGAGUUGGCUUCUGGUCAUCUUUGGGAAGAGCCUUGAAGCGGGGAGUGGAUGCUGUUUUAGGCAGAGGCACAGGUGUGUGGAUGUGCAGGGAGCAGAGGUUUUUAUCCAGUGGUCCGUAGUCCCCUGCUGCCGAGGCACACCUGACAGAAGAGGCAGUGAACUGUCAGUGCCCUUCACGAGCGGGUCACAUCCUAGUCAUCCAGGCCAUGCUUGUGCUCAGGAACCUCCAUGGCUCCCUAGUGGCCACGUGGUUUAUUUCGAGGUUCUUUAACAACCACAGCCUGAGUCUUGGACUACCCAUCCUAGUCCUCCUCCUCCAACAGAAGUCAAAAUAGAUCCCAGAGUCUCACCCGACUUGAAUCCUGUGGUGUCCUGUCAUUCAGGUAGUUUUUUUCUUCCCUCUUCUUUAGGACGUUAGCUCUAAUUUGCGUGUGGAAAUAUUUCUGGAUGAGAUCUCCUAGGUCUUUCACUUUAGCAUCCUGGGGGCUUGUUCUGAUGACAUCUUCUAACAGCUUGACCAAAGAGCACCAUGAAACUAAUACAAGGAAAGCGUUGUCUAAUUCCUGGCCUUUGUCGUCAUGGAGCAUUUGCCGUUUCCUGAUGGACUCUCUGGACAAUAGAUUUUGUGACCAGGAAUCAGGAUUGGAGGGAGGGAAGGGGAUGCAUUUGAGGGCGAGGUACCUUUUUUUUGGGGAAGCUGUUACUCUUCCCAUCCAUCUUCCCGCGUUCACUCUUGGGUCCUAACUCCAGCCUCUGCAGAGACUCCAGUCCAGUUUCCUGGAGACCUUUACCAUAGAGCGAGCACCAGUACUGCUCCAUCCUGAAGCAGGGGGUGGGGGGUCUUGUGAAGUUUAGCCAGAAGCCUUGGCCACCAAAAAAACCUCAGCUUUGCCUCUUCCAGCCCCUCAACAUGGGGAGGUGGGGACCUCAGGGGCCUUUGUAAGUGCCCCCUGCAAGGGCUUCCCAUCCUCCUUCUUUGUAAUCUGACCAAGUGGCCUUGGGCAAGUCACUUCCUCUCUUCUUCUACAGAGGAUGAACUGACCAGGGGACAGGAAGAUGUCUGCUGGACAAGUGCUGCUGGCAAGAUGAAAGGAGAUGUGUGUCAUUCCUCACCAGGCUCUUGUCUGACAUUCCCCAGGGGGUGGGUUUGGAGGCAGGAUGGCCAACUUCUCCCAGCAUGGGGCUCCUCUCUCCUGGGGAAAUCACAUUUUUCAGGAGGCCUUGUUCCAUAGCCCUCCUUACACCAAAGAAUCAUGUCUUUACCCAGCUCCUCUGGCCCUGCUCCCAGUCCCCAGUGGACCAAAUGCUUGGCGAUGGUGUGGGUAGGACAUUUCCCAAUGAACCAAAGCCUACCUUUUCUUGACCUGAGAGGACAAAUCAGCCACUCUUGUGCGCUGCCUGGUGGCUCUGAGGGGCCCCCUCUGUGCACGAUUGUCUGCUGAUUCAUUCAUCCAGUGAUUGUUUACAGAGCAUUUGGGCAUCUGCCAUUAAGCCAGCCUCAGUGAGAGGCCACCGUGGUGAACUGGACGGUCAAGUUUCCCGGCCUUUUAGGGCUAAACUUCCAAUGGACCACAUGCCUCUAAGAUGCAUGAGGUCUAGAAACCAUCAGAUGAGCAGGUCUUGGAACCAGAACAUGGUUCAACAAUCACUGCAUUUUCUCGAGCUGAAUUUUCGGAGUUGGGUAGAAAAAUAAAAAUUCACUGAAAGGAAAAAGCACGUUUUGUGGGAACCCAACGAAGCAGAACCCACAAUUAACAAGAUUUCUCUAAUUUGAUGGCUCCUCAGAGAAGAACGCAAUCCCGAAAAAGGCUAAUUACAUAUUAAUUGAUUUGGCCCCCAAAUAGCAUUUUGACAGCCCUUUGGGGCUGAAGGGACCUCCAGAGGCCAUGGCAGCCGGCCCUUUGCUUUAUCAGAAGUCUCCACGGAAUAGAUGAUGUGUUAGAUGAGGUGAAACCUUUGGCAUUAUUGAGCAAAAUUUAAGUAGGAAAGCAGACUAACCCCAGCUGGAAGGUCUGUGGCUCUCGUAUAUCCAUAAUCGUUGACCAGAAGGCUUGCAAUUAAACAGACAAGAGGAGUCAGAGGCAGCACUCUCCGAGAAGAUGGGCAGAUUUUAAACCACUGAACUGAUUAACAAGGAGGAAGAAUUUCUAGUCUAUUCCCAGCAGGCCAAGAAAUUGCUGAUGCUCCCUCAAAGAGGCACACUGUUUAGCUUCAGCCAAUUGUGUAUCCUUGUACCACCAAACAUUAAAAAUUGAAGAAGUGUCAUUUGUGACCCUAGGCAUAGAAGAAGUUAAGCUUGAACUUGUUUCAAACUCACACCCAUUAAAGUGAUUGGCGCGCACGCCCGGGGUUCAUUCUGGGGGCGGGGCAGAGAGAUGUGAUCUUGCUCUCGUUUGGGGCACUGACUGGGUAUCUUUGGGUCUCUGGAUUUUUUUCUCUUUUUUUGGCAUGGCUGGACAGUCUCAUGACUGUGGGGGAAGAGGACCUGGGUUUGCCCUGACGGCGAUGCUGCUGCCUGAAGGCCUCCAGAACAUUCCCCGGGAGUGAGGGAAAUCAGGAAGUUUCUACCCGGAGCUGGGUCAGCCUGGCCACACUCCAGGAAGAUGGAGUGGUUUGUCCCCAACACCUGACAGGGACCUCCCUCCCCACGUUGUGGGGUGUUUGGGGUUUGGACGACAGGCCCGGCUGUGGUCAAGGCAUGGACCUUGUGGGGGGGAAGCUGCACCAGCUUUGGAAAACCAGUGAUUCCAACUGGCCCACAGUGAACCAAAUUCGGAGAAGCCUACUGUUCCUGUUCCUGUUCGUUUUCCUUUUGUUUCUCUUCUCUGGCCUUCUCCACCUGUGGAGAGGGUGCCUUCACAAAUGGCCUUAGAAUGCCGUUCUGAAGUUUAACAGAAUGAGACAACUAUCAAAUGAAUAUCAGAGGUAUUUAUUAUCGCAGCUUAUCUGAAGAAUGAAAAAAAAAACAAACUAUCACCAAUGUUUACAAGUCCAAGUAGACAUCCAGCCCGUGUAAAAUAUGUAAUUUAUGCAAAGGGAUUGCAUCUUUUUUUUGUAACGAAUGCACUAAGCAACCCUGUAUAUAUUUUACAAUGUCUUUACAGAAAAAGAAAGAAUCAUUUACUGUAGUGUUGUAAAAUAAUGCACUUUUCUAAUUUUUUCAUUAAAAUCUCUAUGGCACGUU
This 6663-nucleotide long non-coding RNA is filed under the name Sus scrofa (pig). Its description in RNAcentral is "lncRNA (ENSSSCG00000055351.1)". The record is from RNAcentral. Lineage: Eukaryota; Metazoa; Chordata; Mammalia; Artiodactyla; Suidae.